UGCAUGUCUAAAUCCAAGCUGUGUUUACACGGCGAGACCGCGGACGGCUCAUUAAAUCAGUCGUGGUCCAAAUGGGCCAGUGCAAAUCCUACUUGGAUAACUGUGGUAAUUCCAGAGCUAAUACAUGCAACUGAUAUCCCGAAGGCGGUGGCUGUGCUUGCUUGUCUUGCGCUGUUCACCGUUCUGACGGAUGCUUUUAUUAGACCAAACCGCUGAGGACUUGAGAGUUCUUCUCUUGUCUGACUCGUGUCAUGGUGACUCUGGAUAACACUUCCUUUCUGACAAGCGCACGUACUCCUCCUGUGAGCGAGACGGCGCUGCCACUUUCGAGUGUCUGCCUUAUCAGCUAUCAACCGUUCGUUAUGCGCGACCGAUGGCUUUGACGGGUAACGGGGAAUCAGGGUUCGAUUCCGGAGAGGCAGCCUGAGAGACGGCUACCACGUCCAAGGACGGCAGCAGGCACGCAAAUUACCCAAUCCCAGCCAAUGGGGGAGGUAGUGACGAAAUCUAACGAUGCGGGCGCCCUUUCUGGGGCCCCGCAAUCGGAAUGGGCACUUUCUAAACAACCUGUUGAGAACCUACUGAAGGGCAAGUCUGGUGCCAGCAGCCGCGGUAAUUCCAGCUUCAGCAGCAUCUAUUAAAGUUGCUGCGGUUAAAAGGCUCGCAGUUGAAUGUCUGUAUCGAGCGCAGGUCAGGUGGACGUUGGGGCGUGGAAGUACGGGCAGUUGGAUGUUUCGUCCGGGGAGUUUUCGAGCUCGUGGUCGUUCGUCCUUCGGCUUUUCCACACACCCCCGUCCGUGACAAGCCUCCUCGCUCGGGUACAUAACAGGAAUCGGUCAAACGGAGUGUGGACGGUGGGUUGUGUUGCUGGGGGGUGGGAGCGUUGCUUCACGGCUUCGUUCUUGCUUCUCUCUUCGCGGCUCGCCUCUGCGUUAAGCUCCAUCGGUUUCACGGUCACCUUGAGUAAAUCAGAGUGCUCAAAGCAGUCGUAAGGGCCUUGCGCCCUGUGAACAGUCUUGACGGACUGACUUGGUUUUGCAUGGCAUGUCGGAAGACGACGUCGUGUGCUGGCUCAGAGGAGAUAAAUCAGUGGUGCAAGCCAGCCGCGACGUAAUGAUUAAAAGGGACGGUCGAGGGCAUUGGUAUUGCGAGGCGAGAGGUGAAAUUCUGUGACCCCCGCAAGACCUCCUGAAGCGAAAGCGUCUGCCAAGGACGUUUUCAUUAAUCAUGAACGAAAGUUAGAGGAUCGAAGGCGAUCAGAUACCGCCCUAGUUCUAACCCUAAACGAUGCCAACCAUCAAUCCGCGCGUAGCACCCUUCUUAACGGGCUCGGCGGGCAGCUCCCCACUCACGGGAAACCAGAGUCUCUGGGUUCCGGGGGGAGUCUGGUUGCAAAGCUGAAACUUAAAGGAAUUGACGGAAAGGCACCACCAGGCGUGGAGCCUGCGGCUUAAUUUGACUCAACACGGGCCAUCUCACCAGGCCAGCACUCUUGUACGAUUGACAGAUUGAGAGCU
This 1517-nucleotide ribosomal RNA is filed under the name Gammarus gregoryi. RNAcentral describes it as "bacterial SSU rRNA". It matches the Rfam family "Eukaryotic small subunit ribosomal RNA", at positions 52 to 1256 of the family's 1831-position model. The record is from RNAcentral. Lineage: Eukaryota; Metazoa; Arthropoda; Malacostraca; Amphipoda; Gammaridae.